CAAGCCUGUUCAUAGGGUGGCAGGUACGUAAGUCCAAACCUUAAUGAGUUACAUGCAAAAAAAGCAUGCUUUGUUCUGUAUUUAUAGUUCUCAUAAAUCUAGUAUUAGUAGUAUGCAUAGGCCUGUGUUCAAAAAUACAAAGAUUCAGGUCUUGGCCAUACAUUUACACAACUAACAAUUUGUGGCCCUCUGAAGUCGUAUCAAUUAUACUCCCACUGCCCUGGGCUGGGAUGGUAUUAGAGUCUUCAUUAAAUGGCUCUUUAAGUAAAGAGGCAAUAUGCUCUUUCAUUAAGCUCUUAAUAAUCUUUUAGAGCAGGACUAAAGAAGUUACUAAAAGAAGCCAUCGACAAAACAAAAACAAUCUCCCAACUUAUUUUGUGGCUAUUUUCCUCAUCAACUCUUUCCACCUAAGAUGGAAAACCACAAGUGCUCAGUGUUUAAGGCACGGUUAAAAUUCUAAGGAAGAAAUGGCAGAGUUAAGGCUCUUUCUCUUAAUGAACACCAUUAUAAAAUAUUGGCAAUAGAGGAACUGCUAGCUAGCCAAAAAUGAAAAUAAAAACAAAAGGAGAGGGAUAUUUCUUACAAGUGGCAACAGUCCUCUAAAUAAAAAUUCUCAUACAUAGUAACCUCAGCUAAUAUUGAAAGAGAGGGAAUCUCAUUCCAUUAACUUAUUCCACACCAAUAAAUUCUUGAAUCCAUUUAACAAGAACUGGGUAUUAUAAAUGGGAUGUGGACAAAACAUAAAAAUCUCCCUCAAGGUGAUUGUGGAAAAGGAAACAGUAUAAUAUCAGUCAGGAGGAAUGAAAGAGAUGUCAGUGCAGAAUAAGAAAAGAAAAGUAGUAGGUCUGUGACGGGAGGCAGAGAAGCAGGAGAGAAUACAGGGGAAAUGAAGAGGAUGGAGAAAAGUCAUGAGAAAUUUCCACCAUAUGUAGUCAAACUCGAUUUGUCAUUGGGGCAAAGAUAUUUCUAGUUAUUCUUCAUGUUGUAUAAUCAUGAAGCAUGUACCAAAGAGACAUCUCAAGGAAAGGUCUCCUAACAAUAGUAGUUAUGCUGAAGCAUACAUUUUUAGUGGAAUCAGUAGCAAUAAAGCAGUCAUCCCAUCACCUCUUCGUUAAUAUCCAUCUACUGAAGUUCCUCCAGUGUGUGUGCUAGGGCAGUGUUCAGGAGCAUUUCUCUUUUCUUAUCACUUCCCCUCAUGUGUGUGUAUGUAUUUUUUGGUGAUUUUGAAAUGAUACUGCAAAAUUUCCAGUAAAGCUUGACAAAAGCACUGAUUCCUGGACCUCACCUAUUCAGAGAUACUGAUUUACUAAAUAUAUGGCAGUUCCAGGCACCUCUAAUCCUAAAAGUGUCCUGAGGUUAUCCUGAUACAUCACAAAGAUUGAGAGUCCUCAGCACAAUGGAAACACUUGUACAGACAUUAAGGAUAGUAUGUUUGACUUCUGACUCUGAACUGAUGGCUUAAGCAGGACCAUGAGAUCUUCAGUAAUUCACUUAGCCAUUCUGAAAAAUUAUAUUAAUAGUCCUUAUAUUCAUUUCAAAAUGUGAGAUAUUGACAUUCAUUCUUUAAUAAAUCAUAUUUCUCAUAACUUUCUAUACUUGCCUCUAUCUUUUUAUCAUUCUACUCCAAUUCCCAGCACAUGUCAUUUGAAGUUAAAAAGACAUGACC
This 1666-nucleotide long non-coding RNA is filed under the name Canis lupus familiaris (dog). RNAcentral describes it as "lncRNA (ENSCAFG00845010087.1)". Lineage: Eukaryota; Metazoa; Chordata; Mammalia; Carnivora; Canidae. The record is from RNAcentral.